This 253-nucleotide ribosomal RNA is filed under the name uncultured bacterium. Its description in RNAcentral is "partial 16S ribosomal RNA". It matches the Rfam family "Bacterial small subunit ribosomal RNA", at positions 524 to 776 of the family's 1533-position model. The record is from RNAcentral.
UACAGAGAGUGCAAACGUUGUUCGGAAUUACUGGGCUUAAAGCGCACGUAGGCGGCGUCGUAAGUGUCGGGUGAAAUCCCACGGCUCACCCGUGGAACUGCCCGGCAUACUGCGACGCUAGAGUGUGGUAGGGAAGAGCGGAACUCCUGGUGGAGCGGUGAAAUGCGUAGAUAUCAGGAGGAACACCGGUGGCGAAGGCGGCUCUUUGGUCCACAACUGACGCUGAGGUGCGAAAGCCAGGGGAGCAAACGGG